Gasterosteus aculeatus aculeatus (three-spined stickleback) is the source of this 630-nucleotide non-coding RNA. NCBI's taxonomy places the organism in Eukaryota, Metazoa, Chordata, Actinopteri, Perciformes, Gasterosteidae. The record is from RefSeq and is a predicted model, not a curated record.
UUUGAAGUUUGUCUGGUCUGGAGGUGUGAAUCCAGCAGCGUCUCUCACAGUGAGUCCUCACAGACUGCAGCACUUCAGCACAGAGUCACUGUCACUGAUCUGUGAGGGAAACUCUACUGAGUGGAGAGUGAUCAAGGUUGAUGAAGAUGGCAAGAGGUCAACCUGUUAUUACUGGGGAGAAAUGACUGGAUCCACAUGCAACACCGACACUAGAGCGAGUAGUGGAGUGUACUGGUGUGAGUCUGUAACACAGUCCAGCAAUGCAGCCAACAUCACUAUACACAUAGUGUCCUCAGAGCCCCGCCCAGUGCCACGCCUUCCUCCAUUGACACAGCUGUGUCUCGUCUUCCCAUUAGACCAGCUGACAUAAAUACUCCGGCUUUCGUCGCCCCAGCUGUCAGUCCGUCCGUUAAGCCAACACGGUACCUCGGGUCCGUGAGUUUUUCUGUCGCAGCCCUUGUGAUCAUGCGAUAACCCCUUGUUUCUCACCCUUGCCGUCCGGCGUCGAACCUCGGAGAUUCACCUGCCCGAAGAGGUAGCCAGUUAGUUCCGCGGAGAUCAGUUGAGCACCUACAAACUCCUGCGUCGAGCCUCGGGUGUCACGCAGUCGAGCUCUCUGCAUGUCACUCA